AUCGAAGCUGAUGCCGUGGCAUCAGAGAAAACCCUAGGACACAGGUCACACAGUUUCAACUCCAAAAUCUCAAUCUCCGGUAGAGCUCAUUGCGGGUAGGAUCUUGUCGGAGUUUGUUGUUUUCGUCCUCCCAAUAUGGCUACGCAGAAGAGAAAACUCUACGGCACAGGUCAGCAUUUGCGAUAUGUAACAUAUAUUGUUAAUUUUCGCGAGUUCAUGUUCAUAGUUUUAGUUACAUCGGAGGUCAGAGUCAUUCCGAUGAGAACCGAGAUCAUCAUCAGAGCCACUCGCACUCAGAAUGUACUUGGCCAUAAAUGAGCAUUGAGGUACACAGUCCAACGUGCAUACAUCUCAAAGCUUUCUAAAAGGGAUUUGUUGGACAGAGGGCACCUGCCUUUUGAAAAUGUGCUGGCUGUAUAUAAGAAUGCGACUUCGCUGUAAGCUAUAGUUUUUGGCAUAGCGAUAAGCGUUUGAUCUAACAAGUUGUAUAAGAGCUAUGUCACAGGUUGAGUCUGAUGCACAUUCAUUAUGUAGUAUUGAUGUCUUGGGUUGUAUUUGCCACUGUAGCUGUAGGCGAGAAAGGAAGGAGUAGGGAACUCACAUCACUUGUGCAAAAGAGAUUCAUAUUUGAGGAGAACACUAUGAAAUUGUAUGCUGAGAAGCUAAGGUAAAUAACAUGAGUCUGCAUAUUUGUCACUGUAGCUGGAGGCCUUGCUGUUAGGUGGUAUGCAUGUAAUUUUUAUCUUUCAACUAAUUUUAAUUUUUCUUGUAUUCUUAUUUGGUUAAUGUUUUCAUAUGCUUUCUUGUUUAAAUCUUCUAUCUAUCCAUGUGGUUCUUUUAGGCUGUAACCAGAAAGAAUAGAAGUUGCUAUUUUUUCUUCCCUUGGGAUUUUGAGUUCAUAAAUUCAGGUUCUAGAGUAUAUGCCAUCCACAAAGCAGUUUGGUGAUCCUGUGCCAAUAUUGUGUCGGAUGAUGAUUAAAAUUUUUUCCUCCAUGCCAUUAUCCUCAUGAAUUACAAUUGUAUUCAUGUAGCAACCUUGGUGAUGGAACAUUUUCUGCUAGCGCUUUCACAGUUUGUAAUUUUUAAUUUAAUUUUUUUUUUUUAAUGUUCGGCACUUGAUCUAAUUUGUUUUCCCCCUUUAAAGUAGCAGUUAAUUUCUAGAACUGAUCUUUGUGUGAUCUAGUUUGUUUGCCUCCUUUAAAAGUAGCAAUUAAUUUCUAGAACUGAUCUUUGUAUGAUCUAAUUUGUUUGCCCCUUUAAGGUAGCAUUAAUUUAUAAAACUGAUCUUUGUGUGAUCUAGUUUGUUUGCCCCGUUUAAGGUAGCAAUUAAUUUCUAGAACUCAUCUUUGUGUGAUCUAAUUUGUUUGCCCCCUUUAAGGUAGCAAUUAAUUUAUAAAACUGAUCUUUGUGUGAUCUAGUUUGUUUGCCCCGUUUAAGGUAGCAAUUAAUUUAUAGAACUGAUCUUUGUGUGAUCUAAUUUGUUUGCCCCCUUUAAGGUAGCAAUUAAUUUAUAUAACUGAUCUUUGUAUGAUCUAGUUUGUUUGCCCCCUUUAAGGUAGCAAUUAAUUUCUAGAGUUGAUCUUUGUGUGAUCUAAUUUUUUUUAACCCCUUUAAGGUAGCAAUUAAUUUCUAGAACUGAUCUUUGUUACUUACAUUGAAAAACAUAACUAUGCACCCCCUUUAACUUAGCUAAUUAAGAGGAAACAUUUUCUGCUAUAUAAUAUCAUUUUUGUUUCAUGUCCUAAAUAGCUUGUUUCUACUUGCUUACAUAGGGCUUGGCAGCUUGCUAUAGUGUUCUAAGAUUUGUUAGGGAAAGUGGAGCCAAGGGUUUCGAGGUAUAUCUGAUUUUAAAAUCAAGGUUUUGUAAUAUCAGUUUUCUAAGUAAUACAGGUCAAGCAUGUAUGCAGAACAUCUUAUAAGGGCCCAACAUGCCAAAUCCAUGAAGUUUAAGGAUGCCUAUAUGAUUUCUUCUGGCCAACUUGUCAAAGAAUACAUCGCCUCUGGCCUUGUUUGGUAAAUGAUGGAUCUGCCGUUUUUAGAGUUUUAAGACUUUUUUAAAUGAGUUUUAGCCUUUUUGGCUCCUCAAUGCUGCCUAUCCGCUCAGAUGGGCAAUAAAUGGUCAAGCAAUAUAGGAGCCUCAAGGCUCCAUUCCCACUUUUUCCAACAAAAGGGAAGCAGCGGGCUACUCCCCUUAUUAUUAUUAUUAUGAAAUAUGUGUAUGUUCUUAUGGAUUAUUUUAUAUGUUAACGCUAACCUAAAGAGCUAAUUUUAUUAAAUAUCUUUUUACAAAUAACUAAUACAAUCAGCUAGUCAAAUUCGCUAACACAACAUGCUAAUGUUAACUACUGAUUGCCAAACAAGGCCUCACAAGACAUGUCCUCUUAAAACAGGGGAUCCUUGAUAUCAAGGUCAAGGUUAAAAUCAUGCUUGAUUGGGACCCCAAGGGCAAGCAUGGCCUGACAACUCCUCUCCCUGCUGGUAUUGUUAUUAUUCGUUCUCCAAAGGAAGAAGAAGAAGAAGAAUAUAUCAGGGCACCCAUUCCCCCUAUCACCAAUAUUGAGGUAGCUGUUGCAUAGACUAUUACUAUCUAUCUGCAUUGUCAACUGCAACAAUUGAGCACUAGAUUUUCUUGUUUUUAGCUUCUCCAAUGUCAGAUACUACAGAAAAGAGGAAAUUAUGCAUUAAUGAGAUAAAGCUAACCGGUCAUCAUCUCUUCCAAGCAAUUUAGCAUGCAUCCAUCCUCCAGAUCGACGGGCUCCCAAUCUGACCGGAACGGGAAAAUAUCCUUGGGAUUUCGUUGUCGUCGAUGGUUGGUCCUGGGAAUUCUGAGUGAGUUUCAGUUGUUGAGUCGAAAGUCAAAAUUGUGUUGUGGUUCAUAAGCCAAUAGGCUACGUCUCCUAUACAAACAGAUGGUUGACGGUUAAAAAACAUGAAUUGUUCUGUUAUGAGGUUUUCUAACUGUCUCCAUGACCAAAUUUUUGAAUCGAAAAUCUCACAUAUGUAGCUUUUUUUUCCAA
This is an RNA transcript of Ipomoea triloba (trilobed morning glory), 3017 nucleotides long. It is a transcript of the gene named 40S ribosomal protein S3-2-like, with no coding region annotated. Lineage: Eukaryota; Viridiplantae; Streptophyta; Magnoliopsida; Solanales; Convolvulaceae. The transcript has 5 exons. The record is from RefSeq and is a predicted model, not a curated record.